This is a long non-coding RNA of Glycine soja, 3221 nucleotides long. RefSeq lists it as uncharacterized. The record is from RefSeq and is a predicted model, not a curated record. The transcript is spliced from 9 exons. Lineage: Eukaryota; Viridiplantae; Streptophyta; Magnoliopsida; Fabales; Fabaceae.
CUCCUUCACCCAAAUGAAGUUCUAUCAAUCGAACAUCAAAGACAAGAUCACCAAGAAGUUCAUCCUCUGAUUUUCUUGUUAGGUGUGCCUCGUUUUUCUUUUGUUUUUCAGCUUUUGUUAUGUGGCAUUCCAGAAUCCAGAGGUGUAGGUAUCAUCAUCUACUCAAAUCUCUUGAAGAAUAUCUGGUGAAGCUUUUGGUCGUGUUUCUGAUUGUGGAAUUUGGACAAGAGAAUCAUCAUUAUCAUUAUCUCACGAGAGACACAGACCACCCUCCCACUGUUCAACCCUCCUGUCCUGUUCUACAACCGUCUUCUUGUCCUGUUUCUUGGGUUCUUUCUGAACUUGUUUGAUCAAACUAUAUCUUAUUUGUCUAUAACUUCUGUGCUCUACAUGUAUUCAUAACUGAUAUACAUAGCCAUAUAUAGCUUAUUUUACACAUAGGAUAAUUACAUGCAUUGCUUCUGCUGGAAUGAAUUUCUCUCUAUUUUUCAUGUUUUGAUUUACUCUACACAAAUUAACUCUCAAUUUUCACUUUCACUUAAUAGAAAACCUUCUUUUUAAUUAAAAUAAAAAAUUAAACAGCGUUCUAAUAAUUGAUCUGAAAUCCCCUUUGUUUAUAAUAGGAAAACCCUGUGUUUGUAUUCAAAUCUAGCUUAAAAAUCAAAUUAUUUCUGUAAUUUAUUCUGAAUUCUAUGUGUUUAUUUCGUUACUCGGGAUUCUUUUGCGUUAAACAUUAUAUAUUCUAAGGAGAACGAGACCACUUUUUAUUGAGUUUGUAGAAUAUUUUAUUCUGAUUGACAUUAGCUUGCUAAAUGCUAAGUCCUUGUGUAACUGUUUGUUUGUUCUUGUGCUAUUAGUAUCCUUCAUGGCUCCAUCUCUUCCUUUCUCUCUCUUAUAAAAAUAUCUGACCAAACCAAAGUACCAAAUAUUUAUUGAGGAAUUAAAACAAAAAGUAUUUUUUUGGUCUUCUAGUCGGGUGAACAGGAAUUUGUUACAGCCUUGCAUGAAAAAAAGAAGUUUUUUUAUUUUUAGCUUAAGAAAAAAUUAAGCUGAUAAAUUUUAGGAUUUUUAACAAACAUAUGUUGGUUUAUCAGGUGAAGAAGCUCCUGAUGGAAACAACUUUGGGCUUUUUCAGUUUUGUGAAUUUUUAUUUAAUUAAACCGGGUUAUCUUUUAACAUCUAGAGCACUUGGAUAUGCCCGGUGGUUUUGUUCUCGACAAAGUGAAUUUGCAGCCCCAAAACAUUUUUGAAAAAUUAGAAGCUCCAAUUGUCCCAGCUUGUUGGAAAAAUCUAGUUUACCUAAAUGAUUAAAUGCUUGUUUGGGAAUAUAGUUUGUUUUGUUUUGUAGGAAGUAAUCACUUAUUUUUCAAUUUUUUUUUAAAUUGGCAAAAAUAAGAGAUUAUUUCUUUAAAAUAAAUUGAAUCAAUGCAGGCUAAUUUCUAGAUUUUUAUACUGUUUUGUGUAGUAUAAAUGCAUGUGCAGGCUUGACAAAAUGUAUGCUUCGACUUAUAGCCCGUUUACAUUGGUUCUGUUUCUCUGUACCUUACUACUCAAACCCUGGUCACCUUUGUUGGGCCAUUGGGACAUCAUUCUAGUAAACCGAUCAAGUAUUUUGAGGUUAGAUGCAACUUAAGUCCAAUAUUAUUUCAAGUAGACAGCCAUGAUUUUUGUUUGCAUUUGCUUUUUUUGUCAUUCUUUUCCAUUGGCCUGAGCAUUGAAGGGGUUACUAAAAUCAAAGAUGGCUACAACCCAACUACUUGGAUGUUGGAAGUCUUGAUUUUCACGACAUAUACAAAAAUUCUGAGCCGUAUAGAGAAAACUGAAUCUGAUCCUGUUCUUGCUGCAAUUCAGACUGUGUGGAGUAUAUCUUUACUAUCAAAUUUGGAAUGCUUCAAUUGGUAUGCAAUGGAACCAAGAUCUUAGCUGGAAUCAAAUCACUAGACCCAUAUCAUCAAAUAAAGUGGCAGACGACAAUAUGACAACUUUUUGAAGGUUGGUAAGAAUGAUGAUUGCAUCCCCCAUAACAGAAGGUGGAAUUUUAAUAAGAAGUUGUGAUACUAGUUACAUAUCAAGGGAGCUGAUCAGAUGUGGAAUGAGCAAGGGCAUUAACAUCGAACGACCAUAUACUUUGAUAGAGGAGGAACCACAGUUGAGAAAAUCUAACCCUGUUGCAUGGGUUGAAAGAAUGUUUGACCUGCUUGCAUCAAAACUGAAUAGAGAACCAAAGUUGAUUCUUUGUGUCUUGCCAUAGAGUAAAAUUUGUGAUACAUAUGGGCCUUGGAAAAAGAAGUGUCUGAGUGAAAUUGGUGUUAUCACUUAGUACAUUUGCCCCUGUCAAGAUCACUGAUCAAUACCUUACCAAUGUACUUCUUAAAAUCAAUUCUAAGGUAACUGAGUACUGUGUAACUGUGACAUUUUUACAAACAUAGCUAUGUUUGACUUGAUAACAUCAUGUAUAGUUUAAAUAAUUUUUUAUGCCUGCCAUAUAUGGCUUGGAGGAAUGAAUUCUUUGUUGGCAAUAAAGCAUUAUGGGCAUCUUCCCUUGAUUAAAGAUACCUCAACGAUGAUUUUGGGGAUGGAUGUCUCACUAUUCACUUGGUUGAUUAGAUAAGUCCAUCAAUAGCAACUGUUGUUGGAUCUCAACAUAGGCCACUGAUUUCAAGGUAUAGAACGUCUCCGAGAAUGCAAACAUCCUCUAUACAAGCCAUUGGAAAAUGGGAGUGAUGAUAGUAUUAUCAGGUCCACAGAUGACGUGGUUGACAACCUGGCCUUAGAGGACACGUGUUAAUCCUCCCCGUCAGCCUUAAUACAAGAGCUCGAACGAUACUCAUUGGUUUGCACACACAUGUGGAGGUGCAAUGAUGGUGUGGCGGCAGUACGGUGGCUGGGCAAGGGGGGGUCGCUCAUGCAGAACUGGAGUUUGGAGCGACAAAGAUGGGCAACACUGAUUCGAAUCUAAGGCAGAGAUGGGUUGGGUGGGGGUGAGAAGAAGGGAGGGAGAACCGAUAGGGGUAAGAGGAUCUUUUUCUCUAGUUUGUGGGGGCCAAUAGUAGUUCCCCUCUAGGAAUCUAAUAUACCCAAACCGAUGGGCCCAAUCAUUCAACCCACGUUUUUUUUUCAUUAACUAACUUUCUCCUUUUCCAAAAACAUGACUCUUGCUUAACACGAUGGCACAUAACACGACAAUAUAUUACAAAUACACUUGCCAAUUCCAUACGUCA